GGCUAAUGGUUAGGAACAGGGGCGGAGGCAGCGGCAGGGGAGAGGAAAGACAGUGCUGUGCUGCAAAGCUCAACAAUAACCUGCGUAACGGGAAGGCACAAUCGCUUACUGCAAGAGAGAAAUAGGGAGGAAUGAGAGGGCAUAUGGGAGGAAGGGCAGAGAGAUUGUGUGCGAGGCAAUUUUAGGCCUCGAGUGAGGGAAGGGGGAGGGGAGAAAUGCUGGAGAGGAGGGGGAAUCAGGGAAGGGGCAGGUGGAAGUAGCUGAGGCUAAAGGAAGUAUUAACUGUGCUGCCGAGGAGCAAGAGGGUACAUUGAGAGGAAAGAAGGGGAAUAUGUGAGGGGGUAAGUGGUUGAGGGAGGUAUAAAGAGCUGUGGAAGAGGAGGGGCAUUUUUAGGCCACUGCUGUGGAGAUUUCACUCAGGCCGACUGUAGCGCUGCCCUAUAAUUCUGUGCCCCCACCGCCCUCUGUAUCAACUGAUAACAGCAGAACAGAAUAAUGGAUAAAGAAUGGAAACCUCAUUCCUCUACUGGUUUCUAGCCAUCUUCUCAAAAGAGCCAAACCACACUUUUGAACUCCAGCACCAAACCAUUGCUAUGGUGAGGGCCCCAUGAUCCGACGUCGCCAGGGUAGAAACAGAGUAAGCACAUGAGCACAACAUACGGUUGUAUUAGCAUUUCACUUGAGUGCCUGGCGCCUCAGAAGCAGCAGCAAUAGUCUGGCUUCCCCCUUUCUGAACUGAGGCAACAAAAUUUUACAUGGAAGAGGAGCACAGCACAUUAAAUUAACAGAGGUAGGGUAGGACUAUGGCAGCCUGCAGCCCAAUCACAAGGCGUGUGCAGUGUUGCUUCUUUCUGAGCUGCAAGUUUUAGGGACAGGACAGGAAUCCACUUCUGUUGCCGCCUGAGCUGCCUGCAGGGAUGCUUUUGCAUCUUGCUUGUUUUUGAGAAGUAUAAUUAUCAACAAGGAGCGUGACAGAGAAUGUGGUCUGUGGUCAGAGCCUCAGAUGACAAGGUAUCAUCAUGACGUAAAAAACACACACAUCGGCUUGCAAGGCUGGGAGUAUGGUGGCUCUGUGGUUGGCCGCUUGCUCAUGCCUUGCCUGUGCCCUUUUCUGUUUAAAAAUUACACACACACUUUUGUGGGAAUAGGAAAGGGUAGAGAAGGUGUGUCUGCACAUCCCUGGCCUUCUCUUCGUGUUGCUGCCUUCCUUGGAAACUUGCAGGGCUCAUGUACCUUAAGAAAAAACAUUUUUAUGCAGGGUUGCUGGAUGUGAAUUAGGGAAUCGGGGCUGGAUUUUUAAAAGAGGGAAUCAAUGUUUAAACUGAAAUUCCUUCCUUCUUCUUCUCCCAGCUUUAUUACAUUCUCAAAUAUCUAACCCCCCCCCACAAGUUUUCAUUUUUUUUAAAGGCGGCAUAUAAUGGGUUGAUUUCAUCUUUUUAGUUACAUGAUAAAAUAACUGUGUUUCAUAAAUUACCAAUCUUAUAUGGUAGGUGUAGAGAACUUUUGGCCCUCCAGAUAUAUGCUGAACUACAGUUCCCAUCUGCCCCAGCCAGCGGCGUAGCGUGGGUUGUCAGCACCCGGGGCAAGGCAAGUAAUUUGCGCCCCCUAACCCGGGGCAAGGCAAGUAAUUUGCGCCCCCUAACCCCUAACGUGCCGUCGCUGCCAGCUUCUUGCUGCUGCCUGGGCUGGUCUGGUGUGGUUCUCUCCCGCGCUCAGCACUGUGCUGGGCGGCCGCUGCACUGUCCCUCCCCCAGAUAGUCCCUCGCUCUCUCUCCGCACCGCACGCCUGGCACCCACCCCCUCCACAGUGGGCGGCGACCCAGCGGCUCGGAUCGGAUUCGCACAGCCAGCACUGCAGUGAGAGAGAGUGAGUGAGCCAGGCAGGGGCAGAGAGCUG
RNAcentral lists this long non-coding RNA (1897 nucleotides) under Podarcis lilfordi (Lilford's wall lizard). The record is from RNAcentral. Lineage: Eukaryota; Metazoa; Chordata; Lepidosauria; Squamata; Lacertidae.